GAUGAACGCUGGCGGCGUGCCUAAUACAUGCAAGUCGAGCGAACAGACGAGGAUCUUGCUCCUCUGACGUUAGCGGCGGACGGGUGAGUAACACGUGUAUAACCUACCUAUAAUACUGGUAUAACUUCGGAAAACCGGAGCUAAUACCGGAUAAUAUAUUGAACCGCAUGGUUCAAUAGUGAAAUACGGUUUUGCUGUCACUUAUAGAUGGAUCCGCGCCGCAUGAGCUAGUUGUUAAGGUAACGGCUUACCAAGGCGACGAUGCGUAGCCGACGUGCGAGGGUGAUCGGCCACACUGGAAGUGAGACACGGUCCAGACUCCUACGGGAGGCAGCAGUAGGGAACCUUCGGCAAUGGGCGAAAGCCUGACGGAGCAACGCCGCGUGAGUGAUGAAGGUCUUCGGAUCGUAAAACUCUGUUACUAGGGAAGAACAAAUGUGUAAGUAAAUAUGCACGUAUUGACGGUACCUAAUCAGAAAGCAACGGCUAACUACGUG
RNAcentral lists this ribosomal RNA (497 nucleotides) under uncultured bacterium. RNAcentral describes it as "partial 16S ribosomal RNA". It matches the Rfam family "Bacterial small subunit ribosomal RNA", at positions 28 to 507 of the family's 1533-position model. The record is from RNAcentral.